AGAGUUUGAUCCUGGCUCAGGACGAACGCUGGCGGCGUGCUUAACACAUGCAAGUCGAACGAUAAGGCCACUUCGGUGGUACUCAAGCGGCGAACGGGUGAGUAACACGUGAGUAAUCUGCCCUUGGCUUCGGGAUAGCCACCGGAAACGGUGAUUAAUACCGAAUAUGACCUCUGCACGCAUGUGUGGUGGUGGAAAGUAUUAUCAGCCAGUGAUGUGCUCACGGG
RNAcentral lists this ribosomal RNA (227 nucleotides) under uncultured bacterium. Its description in RNAcentral is "partial 16S ribosomal RNA". It matches the Rfam family "Bacterial small subunit ribosomal RNA", at positions 8 to 237 of the family's 1533-position model. The record is from RNAcentral.